UUCUGAGACCGGUUCGGAGAAUCCGCGUGUAUAUGAUGAUAUUGGAAUAUUACCCAUUCAAUCCGUCACUAUAGUGCAGGCGUCUGGUGCCCUUGAGGAUUGCGAUUGUAUUCUGGCACUUUUGGAAGCGUACGGAUUGCCAACAGCAAGAAGGCAGAGACUCGUAAAAUGGGG
Sinocyclocheilus anshuiensis is the source of this 174-nucleotide long non-coding RNA. RefSeq lists it as uncharacterized. NCBI's taxonomy places the organism in Eukaryota, Metazoa, Chordata, Actinopteri, Cypriniformes, Cyprinidae. The record is from RefSeq and is a predicted model, not a curated record. The transcript has 3 exons.